GGUGAGUAAUGCCUAGGAAUCUGCCUGGUAGUGGGGGACAACGUUUCGAAAGGAACGCUAAUACCGCAUACGUCCUACGGGAGAAAGCAGGGGACCUUCGGGCCUUGCGCUAUCAGAUGAGCCUAGGUCGGAUUAGCUAGUUGGUGAGGUAAUGGCUCACCAAGGCGACGAUCCGUAACUGGUCUGAGAGGAUGAUCAGUCACACUGGAACUGAGACACGGUCCAGACUCCUACGGGAGGCAGCAGUGGGGAAUAUUGGACAAUGGGCGAAAGCCUGAUCCAGCCAUGCCGCGUGUGUGAAGAAGGUCUUCGGAUUGUAAAGCACUUUAAGUUGGGAGGAAGGGCAUUAACCUAAUACGUUAGUGUUUUGACGUUACCGACAGAAUAAGCACCGGCUAACUCUGUGCCAGCAGCCGCGGUAAUACAGAGGGUGCAAGCGUUAAUCGGAAUUACUGGGCGUAAAGCGCGCGUAGGUGGUUUGUUAAGUUGGAUGUGAAAGCCCCGGGCUCAACCUGGGAACUGCAUCCAAAACUGGCAAGCUAGAGUACGGUAGAGGGUGGUGGAAUUUCCUGUGUAGCGGUGAAAUGCGUAGAUAUAGGAAGGAACACCAGUGGCGAAGGCGACCACCUGGACUGAUACUGACACUGAGGUGCGAAAGCGUGGGGAGCAAA
Molecule: ribosomal RNA, 671 nt
Filed under: Pseudomonas putida
Lineage: Bacteria; Pseudomonadati; Pseudomonadota; Gammaproteobacteria; Pseudomonadales; Pseudomonadaceae
Description: bacterial SSU rRNA
Rfam family: Bacterial small subunit ribosomal RNA
Source: RNAcentral